This 1375-nucleotide ribosomal RNA is filed under the name Priestia megaterium. Its description in RNAcentral is "Bacillus megaterium partial 23S ribosomal RNA". It matches the Rfam family "Bacterial large subunit ribosomal RNA", at positions 1555 to 2925 of the family's 2925-position model. Lineage: Bacteria; Bacillati; Bacillota; Bacilli; Caryophanales; Bacillaceae. The record is from RNAcentral.
GCUGAGCUGUGAUGACGAGGGAAUUAUAGUACCGAAGUUCCUGAUUCCACACUGCCAAGAAAAGCCUCUAGCGAGGCGGGAGGUGCCCGUACCGCAAACCGACACAGGUAGGCGAGGAGAGAAUCCUAAGGUGAUCGAGAGAACUCUCGUUAAGGAACUCGGCAAAAUGACCCCGUAACUUCGGGAGAAGGGGUGCUCUGGUAGGGUGUAUAGCCCGAGAGAGCCGCAGUGAAUAGGCCCAGGCGACUGUUUAGCAAAAACACAGGUCUCUGCGAAGCCGCAAGGCGAAGUAUAGGGGCUGACGCCUGCCCGGUGCUGGAAGGUUAAGAGGAGGGGUUAUCCUUUGGGAGAAGCUCUGAAUCGAAGCCCCAGUAAACGGCGGCCGUAACUAUAACGGUCCUAAGGUAGCGAAAUUCCUUGUCGGGUAAGUUCCGACCCGCACGAAAGGCGUAACGAUCUGGGCACUGUCUCAACGAGAGACUCGGUGAAAUUAUAGUACCUGUGAAGAUGCAGGUUACCCGCGACAGGACGGAAAGACCCCGUGGAGCUUUACUGUAGCCUGAUAUUGAAUUUUGGUACAGCUUGUACAGGAUAGGUAGGAGCCUGAGAAGCCGGAGCGCUAGCUUCGGUGGAGGCGUCGGUGGGAUACUACCCUGGCUGUAUUGAAAUUCUAACCCGCGGCCCUGAUCGGGCCGGGAGACAGUGUCAGGUGGGCAGUUUGACUGGGGCGGUCGCCUCCUAAAAUGUAACGGAGGCGCCCAAAGGUUCCCUCAGAAUGGUUGGAAAUCAUUCGUAGAGUGUAAAGGCACAAGGGAGCUUGACUGCGAGACCUACAAGUCGAGCAGGGACGAAAGUCGGGCUUAGUGAUCCGGUGGUUCCGCAUGGAAGGGCCAUCGCUCAACGGAUAAAAGCUACCCCGGGGAUAACAGGCUUAUCUCCCCCAAGAGUCCACAUCGACGGGGAGGUUUGGCACCUCGAUGUCGGCUCAUCGCAUCCUGGGGCUGUAGUCGGUCCCAAGGGUUGGGCUGUUCGCCCAUUAAAGCGGUACGCGAGCUGGGUUCAGAACGUCGUGAGACAGUUCGGUCCCUAUCCGUCGUGGGCGUAGGAAAUUUGAGAGGAGCUGUCCUUAGUACGAGAGGACCGGGAUGGACACACCGCUGGUGUACCAGUUGUCUUGCCAAAGGCAUCGCUGGGUAGCUAUGUGUGGACGGGAUAAGUGCUGAAAGCAUCUAAGCAUGAAGCCCCCCUCAAGAUGAGAUUUCCCAUAGCGCAAGCUAGUAAGAUCCCUGAAAGAUGAUCAGGUUGAUAGGUCAGAGGUGGAAGCGUGGCGACAUGUGUAGCUGACUGAUACUAAUCGAUCGAGGACUUAACCAAA